GCGCGCGUGGCGGAACUGGUAGACGCGCUAGCUUCAGGAGCUAGUGAGCUUUGCUCGUGUAAGUUCAAGUCUUAUCGCGCGCACCA
Molecule: transfer RNA, 86 nt
Filed under: Candidatus Nomurabacteria bacterium
Lineage: Bacteria; Candidatus Nomuraibacteriota
Description: tRNA-Leu
Rfam family: tRNA
About the family: Transfer RNA (tRNA) molecules are approximately 80 nucleotides in length. Their secondary structure includes four short double-helical elements and three loops (D, anti-codon, and T loops).
Source: RNAcentral